GGGUGCGAUCAUACCAACGUUAAUGCACCAGAUCCCAUCAGAACUCCACAGUUAAGCGCGCUUGGGCUAGAGUAGUAUUGGGAUGGGUGACCUCCUCGGAAAUCCUAGUGUUGCAUGCU
This is a non-coding RNA of Picea glauca (white spruce), 119 nucleotides long. The record is from Rfam. NCBI's taxonomy places the organism in Eukaryota, Viridiplantae, Streptophyta, Pinopsida, Pinales, Pinaceae.